CAAGUCGAGCGAGAAAUUACUCAAUGAAUCUUCGGAAGAAUUGAAUAAUGGAAAGCGGCGGACGGGUGAGUAACGCGUGGGCAACCUGCCUUUCACAGAGGGAUAGCCAAAGGAAACUUUGAUUAAAACCUCAUAAAGCCGAAAUGUUGCAUAGCAAGACGGCCAAAGAUUUAUCGGUGAAAGAUGGGCCCGCGUCUGAUUAGUUAGUUGGUGGGGUAACGGCUCACCAAGGCGACGAUCAGUAGCCGACCUGAGAGGGUGAUCGGCCACAUUGGAACUGAGACACGGUCCAAACUCCUACGGGAGGCAGCAGUGGGGAAUAUUGCACAAUGGGCGCAAGCCUGAUGCAGCAACGCCGCGUGAACGAAGAAGGCCUUCGGGUCGUAAAGUUCUGUCCACAGGGAAGAAACAAAUGACGGUACCUGUGGAGGAAGCCCCGGCUAAAUACGUGCC
RNAcentral lists this ribosomal RNA (453 nucleotides) under uncultured bacterium. RNAcentral's name for it is "bacterial SSU rRNA". It matches the Rfam family "Bacterial small subunit ribosomal RNA", at positions 58 to 509 of the family's 1533-position model. The record is from RNAcentral.